UACGUAGGGUGCAAGCGUUAAUCGGAAUUACUGGGCGUAAAGCGUGCGCAGGCGGUUAUGUAAGACAGAUGUGAAAUGCCCGGGCUCAACCUGGGAACUGCAUUUGUGACUGCAUGGCUAGAGUUUGGCAGAGGGGGGGUAGAAUUCCACGUGUAGCAGUGAAAUGCGUAGAUAUGUGGAGGAAUACCGAUGGCGAAGGCAGCCCCCUGGGUCAAGACUGACGCUCAUGCACGAAAGCGUGGGGAGCAAACAGG
This 254-nucleotide ribosomal RNA is filed under the name uncultured bacterium. RNAcentral describes it as "partial 16S ribosomal RNA". It matches the Rfam family "Bacterial small subunit ribosomal RNA", at positions 524 to 776 of the family's 1533-position model. The record is from RNAcentral.